This is a long non-coding RNA of Gallus gallus (chicken), 3322 nucleotides long. RefSeq lists it as uncharacterized. Lineage: Eukaryota; Metazoa; Chordata; Aves; Galliformes; Phasianidae. The transcript is spliced from 3 exons. The record is from RefSeq and is a predicted model, not a curated record.
AGCGGCCCCGCGGCCGCGCCCCGGCCCUGCACCGAGCGGCCCCGGGGGGGCAUCGGCGGAACUGCCUUCAUGUACAAAGUAUGCCGAAGCGCCGGGCGAGAUCAUCCGCGUGGGUGUAGCCGGGGCAUUUAUGGAAAACAAACCCAAACCGGCGCACACAAUGAGCGUGUUUUAUUAUGCAUGGACUUGAACGCUUCAAGCGCAAGAUAGAGAUAACUCCGCACGCUGUUAGCGGCAUCGGCAGGGUGCCGCUGAGAUAACAUCCACGCGAUUCUGAUCGAAAAGACCUUUCUACAAAACGAGGGAGGAAGAGAAAGGAAAUCACAAUUUUCGUAAGCUGCCCUUAAACUCCAGGGGUAACAGCUGCCUUCCGGUACCUACACUGAGGCCACCAAGACAGAGCCAGGCCCUGUACAGCACGGCUGGAAGGAAAGGGAUGGCAGACAUCAGCUGAAGACUGCCUCUGCCAAGAAGGAAAGAAGGGAAGCUGUUCAUCACUUCAACUACCAGGAAGAGCUCUUUGUUUUGAGAUACUUCUGUGGGUUUUUUGCACUUUGAGUGGAAUAAAGUUAUGGGACAGCAAGGAAUGAAAGCAAAAACCUGUCUGCCAGAUACUUUCCAGGAAACAAUCAGUGACUACACAGCUGUUUAAUUUUUUCCAUGUAUUUCACAUACUUACAUUUUAAAUAUAAAGAUUGUCAAAUGGUGAAGAAAAACGUGGGAAUAAAUCUUUUUUUCUAAAACUUCAGAGUUAGUUUGGUUCUAACGUAGAGUUGCAUUUGAUGGCUUUCCAACAGAAAAGAGGUUCUUUCUAUCCACAGCUUGUUCAAUUUAGAUGUGUGGGAAUUUUUUGGAUGAAAAUGUUCAGGAUGUGGGCCAGACUGGAACGGUCACCUUUUAGCUUUUUAUUGGAAUCUUAGAAAUAAGAAAUGAAAUAAAUUAAAGGUCGCCUACAAUUAAAGCAUAUUUCAAGAUCGAGAACAGUUGGUGACACCAAGAAGAUAAAUCACUGUGCAGCGGUUAGAGGGGAAGGUCUGACCAAAAAUCAGCCAGAUAUCAACUGUAAUCCUUUGUGUGCUGUCGUGUGGGUAUCUAAGUGCAUGGAACAUCUUCAGCCAGAUUUGUCAGUGCUCCGUAUUUAUGGAAAAUAAAAAAUAGAACCCUUAUUUGUUCUUUCUACAUCUAUGAAACAGGACAUACACUUGAAUGAAACACGCAGCCUAGGCAUUACAAACAGAUUUGGUAAUAACACAGGGAGCAAUGGGUCAUUGUGGAAAACAGAUGAACACAGAAAAAGCCAUUUCAUAUGAUACAGAAAGGGUGGAGUUUUUGCCACCAGCACAAAGCAGCUCGAGGAAAACCUCUGCUGCAGACAGCAGUUGUCUUCUCUACGCAGUGAGACAAGCCAGACUGGAGACUGUGUACAGUAGGUGCAUACGUGUUGACAUCUUGGAACAAAAACACAAAACACCUCUCUUUCCAAACAGUGUUGUUGUCCUAAGAUGACUCUUCCUGCUAUUUUUUUUCUUCCCCUAGGAGGAAGUACUGCUGUAUUUGUUUGACAAAUACUGGUGGUCAAGUGAGGAACUGGCAGCCGCACCUACUGACAAGCGCUGUGCAAAUUUUUCCAGCCCUCACACACCUCCCUGUCAAUUAACCUCAUUUCUGACCUGUAAAAGUCUUUGCUGUGCUCAGAAUCCCUUGAGCUCGCUGACAGCACGGUGCUGUCCUGCGGUGUCAGUUCCUAUCAUCUCACCUGGAUGUGAGAAACUCAUUUCCAUGCAGGUCUCAAGGCAGCGUAUCCAUUUUAUCUGUUUCAAAAUUAUAGCCUUUACCCUGCAAGUUUGCUUUAUAAUCACGUAUAAACAGAAAGACAUUCGUUUAUAAUACACAAUCUGAUUACAGUGACCUAAUUUAGAGCAAGAAGGAAAGAAACAAGAUCAUGUGACAGGAGUUGAGCAAAUAUUCAUCUGAGACUGAAUCUUAUCUCAUUUGCAGUAUCUUUACAAUAAAAGUAUCUACAUAAUACACAAUAGAAUUGUUCCUGAGUACCUGGUGCAGCUCCCAUCUCUGACAGGCAUUAGGGUUUCAGUCUCCCAGAGAAGCCAUAAGCUGAGCAGAGGGCAGGACCAGAGGGCCCCAGAGGUCCCUUCCAGCCUCAGCCUGCCUGAAGCUGCUUUUUUCCCCCUGAAACACAUGCUCUCCCUCUCUGAGGUUUGAAAUGGCCACUUACAUUUGCACCAGCUACACAAUACCACACAACACUGAAUAAAAUGAUCAACAGUUAUCCUCAGAAUAAGAAAACCACAUUUUUCAAGCGGCAAGUCACUGUCUUCAAAGCCUUGGUUUUAUUCCAAGAUGCUUUCUGUACAGCAGCCCACAACAGGUAAGCUGACUUUUCCCAUUUGUGUUCAGUGCUUGUAGCAUUCGCCAUUAGCACCAUCAUUUCAGUUCCUGUAAUUUUAAAUUCAGAGAUGAUCUGAAUAUUUAUGUUCAGUAAUCAGUAAAUUAAUCAAGACGGCUAGGACAAUUUAUUUCAGGGAGUAAUUCAGAGAGUUAUUUACUAAUUGUUCUAUACUGAGUGUCAUGGGCUGGCAGCAGCACAAAUCAUAGUGGGAAAAUAUUUCAUUGCAUCAUAAUUAAAUUGUAUAUUUAUUUAGGUAAAUAGAUUCUUUAAGUUGUUUCCAACACAUUCCCUCAAGUUGGAUUCAAGCUAUCCAUCACCGUAUUUCACAGCCCUGUUCGCCAGCACUGACGGACAUAAAUCAAAGACAUAGAAUGAGAGCCUGGCCUGGACAGAGGGAGCUUUACCAGUGGGUCCCAGGCCCCACACAGAAUGAAAGCAUUUACACUGUGCUUUACAAAUGACUCACAGCACGUAAUUCCUCGGGGAUGCUGAAAAAGUGGAAACCUGCUCUGUUUCCCCUUCUUGCUCUGAGCUUCAUGGCCUCCAGCCCUCUGUGCUAUCCUUUGGUUCCUUCACCUGCUGGUUCACCUCAGCCACCCAACAGAAAUCUUCCCUCUUUUCAGCCACAACAGGGAGCCGAGGCGGGCCACCGAGGUGUCCGACAGGGCUACCACAAGGUGCAUGGCAGGCGGGAAGGGAUGCUGUGCUUCCCCUCAUCUGUGGAACUGUACUCAGAGAAUUUUUCACUGGCAAACAGCUUUUCAACCAGACAUUCGCAGUCAGAUUCCCCAAACUGGAGGUUAUUGUCACAACCAGACUCAGCACAGACGGGCUGCACAGAGUUGGGUGAGAGAGCCUAGAUAACAAAGGAAUUAGGCUGAACUCUUGCCCUCAGCUUGAACAUUCUUUGAAGUU